GAUGAACGCUGGCGGCGUGCCUAAUACAUGCAAGUCGAGCGAAUGGAUUAAGAGCUUGCUCUUAUGAAGUUAGCGGCGGACGGGUGAGUAACACGUGGGUAACCUGCCCAUAAGACUGGGAUAACUCCGGGAAACCGGGGCUAAUACCGGAUAACAUUUUGAACCGCAUGGUUCGAAAUUGAAAGGCGGCUUCGGCUGUCACUUAUGGAUGGACCCGCGUCGCAUUAGCUAGUUGGUGAGGUAACGGCUCACCAAGGCAACGAUGCGUAGCCGACCUGGGAGGGUGCUCGGCCACACGGGGACUGGGACACGGCCCAGACUCCUACGGGAGGCUGCAGUAGGAAAUCUUCCGCAAUGGACGAAAGUCUGACGGAGCAACGCCGCGUGAGUGAUGAAGGCUUUCGGGUCGUAAAACUCUGUUGUUAGGGAAGAACAAGUGCUAGUUGAAUAAGCUGGCACCUUGACGGUACCUAACCAGAAAGCCACGGCUAACUACGUGCCAGCAGCCGCCGUAA
Molecule: ribosomal RNA, 515 nt
Filed under: uncultured bacterium
Lineage: Bacteria
Description: partial 16S ribosomal RNA
Rfam family: Bacterial small subunit ribosomal RNA
Source: RNAcentral